UGCAGCCUGAAGGGGUGGGUUGCCCCUCC
This 29-nucleotide non-coding RNA is filed under the name Homo sapiens (human). Lineage: Eukaryota; Metazoa; Chordata; Mammalia; Primates; Hominidae. The record is from RNAcentral.